ACGGGUGCGUAACGCGUAUGCAACCUGCCCGCGACAGGGGUAUAACGGAGGGAAACUUCCACUAAUCCCCCGUAACACUUGGGUUCGCAUGGACCCGGGUUGAAAGGAGUGAUCCGGUCGCGGAUGGGCAUGCGUGACAUUAGCUAGUUGGCGGGGCAACGGCCCACCAAGGCUGCGAUGUCUAGGGGAGCUGAGAGGCUAAUCCCCCACACUGGUACUGAGACACGGACCAGACUCCUACGGGAGGCAGCAGUGAGGAAUAUUGGUCAAUGGUCGGAAGACUGAACCAGCCAUGCCGCGUGGAGGAAGAAGGCCCUACGGGUCGUAAACUUCUUUUGCCGCAGAGUAAUAAGCGGGGUGCGCCCCGCGAUGAGAGUAUGCGGCGAAUAAGCAUCGGCUAACUCCGUGCCAGCAGCCGCGGUAAUACGGAGGAUGCGAGCGUUAUCCGGAUUUAUUGGGUUUAAAGGGUGCGUAGGCGGACGCGUAAGUCAGCGGUGAAAUGUCCCGGCUCAACCGGGGAGCUGCCGUUGAUACUGCACGACUAGGGUGCGAGCGGCGCCGGCGGAAUGUGUGGUGUAGCGGUGAAAUGCAUAGAUACCACACAGAACACCGAUCGCGAAGGCAGCUGGCGAGGACGUUACUGACGCUGAGGCACGAAGGCGUGGGGAUCGAACAGGAUUAGAUACCCUGGUAGUCCACGCAGUAAACGAUGGGGACUUGUUGCCGGCGACAGGCUGUCGGUGACAAAGCGAAAGCGAUAAGUCCCCCACCUGGGGAGUACGAUCGCAAGGUUGAAACUCAAAUGAAUUGACGG
Molecule: ribosomal RNA, 814 nt
Filed under: uncultured bacterium
Lineage: Bacteria
Description: bacterial SSU rRNA
Rfam family: Bacterial small subunit ribosomal RNA
Source: RNAcentral